GAUGAACGCUAGCGGCAGGCCUAAUACAUGCAAGUCGAGGGGUAACAGGAAGUGCUUGCACUUCGCUGACGACCGGCGCACGGGUGAGUAUCGCGUAUACAAUCUGCCUCAUACUAGGGAAUAGCCCGAAGAAAUUUGGAUUAAUGCCCUAUAGUAUCUUUUUAAGGCAUCUUAUUAAGAUUAAAGGUUACGGUAUGAGAUGAGUAUGCGUUCUAUUAGCUAGUAGGUGUGGUAACGGCACACCUAGGCUACGAUAGAUAGGGGCCCUGAGAGGAAGAUCCCCCACACUGGCACUGAGACACGGACCAGACUCCUACGGGAGGCAGCAGUAAGGAAUAUUGGUCAAUGGGCGCAAGCCUGAACCAGCCAUGCCGCGUGCAGGAAGAAGGCCCGUAAGGUUGUAAACUGCUUUUAUAGGAGAACAAACCCCUCCGGCGGGAGGGUCUGAGGGUAUCCUAAGAAUAAGCACCGGCUAACUCCGUGCCAGCAGCCGCCGUAAGA
This 501-nucleotide ribosomal RNA is filed under the name uncultured bacterium. RNAcentral describes it as "bacterial SSU rRNA". It matches the Rfam family "Bacterial small subunit ribosomal RNA", at positions 28 to 525 of the family's 1533-position model. The record is from RNAcentral.